Molecule: ribosomal RNA, 305 nt
Filed under: uncultured bacterium
Lineage: Bacteria
Description: bacterial SSU rRNA
Rfam family: Bacterial small subunit ribosomal RNA
Source: RNAcentral
CCUACGGGACGCAGCAGUCGGGAAUAUUGCACAAUGGAGGAAACUCUGAUGCAGUGACACCGCGUAUAGGAAGAAGGUUUUUGGAUUGUAAACUAUUUUAGACAGGGAAGAAAAAAGACAGUACCUGUAGAAUAAGCUCCGGCUAACUACGUGCCAGCAGCCGCGGUAAUACGUAGGGGGCAAGCGUUAUCCGGAUUCACUGGGUGUAAAGGGAGCGUAGACGGCCAUGCAAGCCUGGAGUGAAAGCCCGGGGACCAAACCCGGGAAUGCUCUGGGAACUGUGGGGAUGGAGUGCGGGAGGGGGG